GUACUAUUCUAUGUAGGUUUGUAACAAAAACCCCGCCUCUGGUCUUCACUGGCUGCUUGUGAACAGAUGGAGUUGAAACUCUGACAGCGGUAGACCAAUCACAGCAGACUGGGACAUCUGACCAAUCAGAGCAGAGCAUGCUUUCUUAAAGGAGGAGUUUAGAAUGAAUCUUUUAGAACGGAUCAUUUAACAAGUCAUUUUUGACACUGGGGAGGAAAAAAGGUAAUGCUGCAGUUUAAAUUAUGAGCACAUUAAAGUGAUUUUUGAACUUGGAUGCAUGUAAAUCUAUUGUAUGAGACCUUUAAAACAAAAUUAGGCACGUUUCAAAACCAUAAUAGGUGCACUUUAAGGGUUCCUAUAGCGCGUUAGACUUAAUAACUGUCUCCAAAAUUUAUCAGCUUAAAUAUGGCUUGUAGAUUAAAAAGGCUGUAACAAAACUGUUUGUCUUUUUUUUUGUUGUUGUUUCGACAAAACUGUGAGGAACAACUUAAAAUUUAACCUUACUCUACUCACUUUCUCCUCUCGGGCUAAUCUAAUCAGUCCAUACAGGAUUUAGAGGGGUUUUUUUUGUGAUUGUUGCGGCAAAAAAUGCUUGAUUUUGCUGUGCCGUUGUCAUGACGUCACUUGUCACGUCUUGGCCCAAAUCUGUGGUAAUUUUGAAAAAUCGCAAGCUCCGAAUAUUGUGCGGUGUGCUUGAUUUUGCAUUCGUUUCUGCGAUCACAAAAUCGCGAAAUCCUUGAGGGACUGAUGAAUGAUUAUUGCCUUUGACUAUAACAAUAACCAAGGUAAAAUGACUUUGCUCAUUUUAUAGAAAAGAUAGACAAGAUUGAAAUUCGAAGAUUUAAAGAGAUCUUUCCCUUUACCUCUUUAUCUAAAUUGUAUUAUAUCACAUGGAUGUUUCAUCCUCAUUCAUCUCAGCAAGCUAAAAUUAAACAGGUGAAACAUGACAGGCCUCAUUAAAUGAUGAAUUUGUUGUGUAUAUUCUACUACCGCAUCGGGCGGAAAAAUCAUGUCCCUUCCAUGAAAUAUAACACGAGGCUGUAAUGUCAAUAGUUGAGGAGAUUUGACAUGUUCUCAGUCGCUUUUGUUUGUGCAUCUCUUCAGUGUGCUGCCAUGACGGACAUCUCCGCUUUACACAGGCCAUAUUGUACAUUUACUGUUUUUAAGGUGAAACGUCAGUGUUUUUUACAUAUUGCUUGUUGAUUUCUUUAUCGUUGCCGCCAAGCCUCGCCUGUCUGCGAGAGAGAUGGUCACACUUCACGUGAACUCGAAACGGUUAGUGUUCUUGUUAUUUAAGCUAGAGUUCUGUAUGUUGCAAGUGAAAUCAGUCGAUUUGCUUUUUCUCUAAAGCUCUUUACAGCGCUGUGUGGUGCGGUUGUAGCUGCGCUGCUGCAGCCUCCAGAGGCUUCGAUGAGUAGACUCUAAUCGUUUCUGUUGUUGGUUAAGAAAGUCCACUUUGAUAAUUGUUCAUAAUGUAAGUGAUUGUUAACAAAUCAUUGCAGCCCUAAUUAGAUAUGCUAGACGGGCCCUUGGGUUAGGGAACCAAACACCCCCCCCCCCCCCCCCCCCCCCAACAGCCCCUAUCAGAAGUUUUACCUGGGUUUUCCCAGAACAGCAUUAAUAUACAUAUUGUAUAAUUCAUUUCAGCAGCAUAUUAACCUAAUACAUAUGCAGUGUUAUUGACAGUAUGGGAUUCCAUGUCGCAGCAGGGAUAUGUUCAUGGUAACGUACAUUAACUUAAUGUGGCUCAACGUACAAAUGGAACAAGUCUUAGUAAUAGUUCAUCAGAAGGCUGGGAAUUACAUGAAUGGUUUGCUUGAAGUAGCUGAAGCACAUGACUCUAAUGCUGGUGGUAGGUGUCAUUGUAAACGAAAUGUAUGUAUGUGAGUGUAAUCAGUGUAAAUUAUAAUGCUAAGAGGUCUGCCUUAAAAGACACUCAAUCGUUUUUCAUGUAUUUUCUACACCUCGUCUAUUGAUCAAUUUCCCGUUUGAAUUCAAGUAUUUUAUUUUAUUUUUUUGUCUUAAUGCAUCACGUUGUCAGAGUGUAUCAACUAAUAAAACAUGUUUGGUAAUGAUUUAGUGUGUAUUCGUGUAGUUCCAUUUUUUUAUGGUUGUUUUAGUUUAAUAUUUAGUUUCCUGAAUUUUGUUUUGUUCCAUCUGUUCGGAAGUGAUCGUGAUUUGCAGUAUUUAAUAAA
Molecule: long non-coding RNA, 2195 nt
Organism: Ictalurus punctatus (channel catfish)
Lineage: Eukaryota; Metazoa; Chordata; Actinopteri; Siluriformes; Ictaluridae
Source: Ensembl